This 386-nucleotide ribosomal RNA is filed under the name uncultured bacterium. RNAcentral describes it as "bacterial SSU rRNA". It matches the Rfam family "Bacterial small subunit ribosomal RNA", at positions 28 to 417 of the family's 1533-position model. The record is from RNAcentral.
GACGAACGCUGGCGGCGUGCUUAACACAUGCAAGUCGAACGGAAAGGCCCCUUCGGGGGUACUCGAGUGGCGAACGGGUGAGUAACACGUGGGUGAUCUACCCUGCACUUCGGGAUAAGCCUGGGAAACUGGGUCUAAUACCGGAUAUGACCACGAGAUGCAUGUCUUGUGGUGGAAAGCUUUUGCGGUGUGGGAUGGGCCCGCGGCCUAUCAGCUUGUUGGUGGGGUGACGGCCUACCAAGGCGACGACGGGUAGCCGGCCUGAGAGGGUGUCCGGCCACACUGGGACUGAGAUACGGCCCAGACUCCUACGGGAGGCAGCAGUGGGGAAUAUUGCACAAUGGGCGCAAGCCUGAUGCAGCGACGCCGCGUGGGGAUGACGGCCU